RNAcentral lists this long non-coding RNA (2065 nucleotides) under Homo sapiens (human). RNAcentral's name for it is "HSALNT0095199". Lineage: Eukaryota; Metazoa; Chordata; Mammalia; Primates; Hominidae. The record is from RNAcentral.
AGAUCGAGGCAGGUGGAUCACCUGAAGUCAGGAGUUUGAGACCAGCCUGACCAACAUAGCGAAACUCCGUCUCUACUAAAAAUACAAAAAUUAGCAGGGCGUGGUGGCGCAUGCCUAUAAUUCCAGCGACUUGGGAGGCUGAGGCAGGAGAAUCGCUUGAACCUCGGAGACGGAGGUUGCAGUGAGCUGAGAUCGUGCCAUUGCACUCCAGCCUGGGCGAUAAGAGCUCUCUCUCACAAAAAAAGGAAGAAGAAAGGAGAAGGAGAAGACAGGCGAAGAAACUCCCUCCCCUGCAGAUGAGUUCAUUUAGGGUGGGGCACUGGGUAGCGCACAGGCUGGGGGGUCAGGCGGGCCUGGUCUGAAUUCCCCUGCUGAGUGAUCUUGGGUAAGUGGCUCUACGUCUCUGGGCCUGUGAGGAUGUUGGUAUGACGAUUAAAUGAGACGCCACUGGGAUGGUGAUGAGCUCAUGACUUUAUUUUCUCCUCACACGCACAGACACUUGUAGGCAGAAACUGAGCCAAACCGAGAGUGCCGCAGAUGGGCGCCCCUGACCUUCCCGCUGCUCCAAGCUCCCCACUCGGCCUCGCGCGCCCUCCCUCCUCUCAUAGCUCGGCGUCCUCGCCCGCCCCCGCGCGGCCCUCCCAGAACAGUACCUGUAUCUGCCUGGUGCACCUACUGUGUGUUGCUAGUCACUGAAGACUUGGGGACCAAGACAGACAAGGUGCCCACUCACCUGGAGCUCACAGCCUGCGGGGAGGGGAAAAAGAUACUGAACAAACAAAUAAACAAGAAUAUUAUCACCUAUUACCUGCUGUGCAGAAAAUUAAAAAGUGAAAUGUAACAGAGUGGCUGCAUGAGGAGGAGUUUCAACUGGAGCAGUCAGGCAUACCAUCCCAGAGGAGGUGACAUUUGUGCAAAGACCCAAGGAAUGAUCAAGAGUCAGUCAUCAAGCAUCCAGGAGACCUGAGCUGCAGACAGAAGAAACAGCAAGUGCAAAGGCCCUGUGCUGGGCAUGAGUGUGGCAUGCUAGAGGAACAGCAGAGAGAAAAGGAGGGGACGAGGAGGAGAGAUGAAAGAAGGAGGCCCUGGGACAGGGAGAAGGAGAGGGGACAGAAGGUGUUCCUGGUCGCAGAGCAGGGAGGCCUCACUGGAUCACCAACCUCCUCUUCACAGCAGGGGAGGAGGGGCUCCAUGAACCGAGACCUCUAAGUGCCCAGCUCUGCACCAAAUGCUUUUUACAGAUCGGCUCGGAGAAUGCUCUCAACAGUCCUUGGGGCAGGUAUAGUCAUUAGCCACAAUAUAAAGAAGGAAACAGGCUCAGAGAACUUGGCUGAGCUGCUGGGUCUGGGACUAGAGUCAAAGUCAUAGAGCGGGAGGAGGGAUCUAAUGCCCCCUGUGCUGCCUUCAAGGACCCAGUCUGGGGACGCUUUUUCCUCCCACCCAGCUGCCCUUCCACUCCCACUCCCACUCCCUCUGCCUCUAGGGAGAGGGCCUCGCACAGGAGGCCUGGCUGCUAACUGAUCCCUGCCAAGGGCUUUCCGUUCCUCCUCUCAUUGUCCCCUAAGAGCAAGCCAAGGAGAGAACCCACUACCUCUCCCUCACCUGGCUGGGGAAGGGUGCUGGGAGCGAGGAGACAGAAGCCCAUCUCCAGUCCCGCAACACCGUUUCUGAGGCCCCUCUGCAGGCCCUGCCCUUGGAAGGGGUUGGACCGUGGUCCUUGGAUGGCAGCCCAGUGGUCAGUGAAGAUGCCCCCCAAGGCCAGGGGCAACAGCAUCUUGAAGUCUGAGAGAACUUACUUCCCCAUAUGCGCUACACUGCCCCAGACCCUAAAUAGCCUGUGGCACACCAGGGAGAGAGCCAGACUCCAGGGACAGCCAGACCUUGCACCAGCUGGGAAGAAUGUUAUAGAAAGGAAAGCAGGCUGCGGGGCGCGGUGGCUCAAGACUGUAAUCCCAGCACUUUGGGAGGCCGAGGUGGGCGGAUCACGAGGUCAGGAAAUCGAGACCAUCCUAGUUAACACGGUGAAACCCCAUCUCUACUAAAAAUACAAAAAAUUAGCCGGGCG